CAAAAAGAGAUCUUCUACGCUUCAAGCAGUUCAAAAUUGCUAAAAACGAUGAACGGAAUAAAGUGAGAGCGGCUAAAGCCGGUUUCACUACUUCCCGUCCGAACAACUCCAUAUCUCACCAACAAAAUUACUUACCAGCAAAUGCCUGGGCUUCUUCAGUAGAUACAGCUCUUAAAUGUAGUAAAUCCGUUUUAUUACCAACAAGCAUGAUAACGAUGUUGCUGUCUGCAUGCUCACGAAGCUCCUUUAACCAGCGGCCCACAUUAUCGAAUGAAGAUUGUUUUGUGAUAUCGUAAACAAUCAGAGCACCAACAGCACCACGGUAAUAAGCUGAGGUAAUGGCCCGAUAACGUUCCUGACCGGCAGUAUCCCAGAUCUGUGCUUUAAUUUUUUUGUUGUCAAGAACAAUAUUUCUAGUAGCAAAUUCAACACCAAUAGUACUCUUGCUUUCGAUAUUAAAUUCAUUCCUAGUGAAACGCAUAAGUAGGUUUGACUUUCCAACACCACUAUCCCCAAUCAGCACAGUCUUGAACAAAUAAUCGUAUUCGUCCUCUUGACACAUGGCUAAGUUCUCUAUCGGUAAAUCUACGAACAAUUUUUGUUAACAAAUAUUUAAGGUCAAAUAAUAUCAAGGUAUAUACCUGUAAAUUACAAUGAACCCUGCUUUCG
Schizosaccharomyces pombe (fission yeast) is the source of this 669-nucleotide non-coding RNA. NCBI's taxonomy places the organism in Eukaryota, Fungi, Ascomycota, Schizosaccharomycetes, Schizosaccharomycetales, Schizosaccharomycetaceae. The record is from the annotation of a GenBank genome assembly.